RNAcentral lists this ribosomal RNA (440 nucleotides) under uncultured bacterium. Its description in RNAcentral is "partial 16S ribosomal RNA". It matches the Rfam family "Bacterial small subunit ribosomal RNA", at positions 338 to 795 of the family's 1533-position model. The record is from RNAcentral.
CCUACGGGUGGCAGCAGUGGGGGAUAUUGCACAAUGGGGGAAACCCUGAUGCAGCGACGCAGCGUGAGGGAAGACGGUCCUCUGGAUUGUAAACCACUGUCCCCAGGGACGAAGGUGACGGUACCUGGGGAGGAAGCUCCGGCUAACUAAGUGCCAGCAGCCGCGGUAAUAGGUAGGGAGCGAGUGUUGUCCGGAAUUACGGGGUGAAAAGGGAGGGUAGGCGGGUCUGAAAGUUGGGUGUCAAAUCUACCGGCUCAACCGGUAGCCGCACUCAAAACUGCAGUUCUUGAGUGAAGUAGAGGCAGGCGGAAUUCCUAGUGUAGCGGUGAAAUGCGUAGAUAUUAGGAGGAACUCCAGUGGCGAAGGCGGCCUGCUGAGCUUUUGCUGACGCUGAGGCUCGAAAGUGUGGGGAGCAAACAGGAUUAGAUACCCCUGUAGUC